ACUUGAUGGUGUUUAUGACGUCGAAUAUCGACGUCAUAAACACCAAACUUGAUGGUGUUUAUGACGUCGAAUAUCGUCGUCAUAAACACCA
This 91-nucleotide microRNA precursor is filed under the name Paramuricea clavata. The record is from RNAcentral. Lineage: Eukaryota; Metazoa; Cnidaria; Anthozoa; Malacalcyonacea; Plexauridae.